CUUAAAAGUAAUUAAUUGAUAGCAUUGACAUUCACCAUUUCGUUUCAGGUUUUCCAGUGUGGGCUAGGGAAGCUCUCUAGAAGUUCUUUGGAGGUUUGCAUCCCACUCUCUUUGCUGUGUGAUUCAAGAGGAAUUCACUGACCUCCAAAUAAACACCAUUUUAGGAUGAGAAGCUUCUGAGAUUUGGGAAUCUACAGACAAUUUGGAAGCUUGUCAGGAUUAUUCUGCAAAGUCAACCAAAAGAGGAGGGCUGGAGUUCACAGAUUAUUAGCACCGAAUGUUGGAUUCAGAGGUUAUUAGCCACGUAUGGCAAAUGGAGUUCCUUUUCUGGAGAGGAAACUGUGCAGGAAACAAGACUGUAAAUGAUCCAGCUUCUGAUUCUACAUAUAUUAUCCAUCUUUGGCAGUUUCCCUGCCCUAGACUCAGAUGAAGGUUGAAAGGGUGAAGUCUCUGACCAUGGGAAUUUCAGAAACUAGAAGAACAAGC
RNAcentral lists this long non-coding RNA (486 nucleotides) under Monodelphis domestica (gray short-tailed opossum). RNAcentral describes it as "lncRNA (ENSMODG00000040716.1)". The record is from RNAcentral. Lineage: Eukaryota; Metazoa; Chordata; Mammalia; Didelphimorphia; Didelphidae.